GUUCUUAUGGAUCUCGUAAUUGGAAUGAGUACAAUUUAAAUCUCUUAACGAGGAACAAUUGGAGGGCAAGUCUGGUGCCAGCAGCCGCGGUAAUUCCAGCUCCAAUAGCGUAUAUUAAAGUUGUUGCAGUUAAAAAGCUCGUAGUUGAAUUUCGGGAUCAAUUUAUCGGUCGUGCCAAUGGUAUGAACUGGUACAAUUGGUUUCUCCCUUCUGACGAAGCAUGAUGUCAUUAAUUUGGUGUCGUGGGGAAUCAGGACUGUUACUUUGAAAAAAUUAGAGUGUUUAAAGCAAGCAUUAGCUUGAAUACAUUAGCAUGGAAUAAUGAAAUAGGACGUUUGAUCCUAUUUCGUUGGUUUCUAGGAUCGACGUAAUGAUUAAUAGGGAUAGUUGGGGGCAUUAGUAUUCAAUUGUCAGAGGUGAAAUUCUUGGAUUUAUUGAAGACUAACUACUGCGAAAGCAUUUGCCAAGGGUGUUUUCAUUAAUCAAGAACGAAAGUUAGGGGAUCGAAGACGAUCAGAUACCGUCGUAGUCUUAACCAUAAACUAUGCCGACUAGGGAUCGGAUGAUGUUAAUUUUUUAAUGACUCAUUCGGCGCCUUACGGGAAACCAAAGUGUUUGGGUUCCGGGGGGAGUAUGGUCGCAAGGCUGAAACUUAAAGGAAUUGACGGAAGGGCACCACCAGGGGUGGAGCCUGCGGCUUAAUUUGACCCAACACGGGGAAACUCACCAGGUCCAGACAUAGUAAGGAUUGACAGAUUGAGAGCUCUUUCUUGAUUCUAUGGGUGGUGGUGCAUGGCCGUUCUCAGUUGGUGGAGUGAUUUGUCUGGUUAAUUCCGAUAACGAACGAGACCUUAACCUGCUAAAUAGCUAGGCUUAGCAUUGCUAGGUCGUCAGCUUCUUAGAGGGACUAUCGGUGUUUAACCGAUGGAAGUUUGAGGCAAUAACAGGUCUGUGAUGCCCUUAGAUGUUCUGGGCCGCACGCGCGCUACACUGAUGAAGUCAACGAGUUCACUCCCUUUGUCGGAAGACAUGGGUAAUCUUUUGAAACUUCAUCGUGCUGGGGAUAGAGCAUUGCAAUUAUUGCUCUUAAACGAGGAAUCCCUAGUAAGUACAAGUCAUCAGCUUGUGCUGAUUACGUCCCUGCCCUUUGUACACACCGCCCGUCGCUACUACCGAUUGAAUGGCUUAGUGAGGACUUCGGAUUGAGCUUCGGAAGCUGUAAAAGGCAUCCGAUUUUUAAAAAGUUGUUCAAACUUGGUCAUUUAGAGGAAGUAAAAGUC
Molecule: ribosomal RNA, 1280 nt
Filed under: metagenome
Description: SSU rRNA
Rfam family: Eukaryotic small subunit ribosomal RNA
Source: RNAcentral